CGGAUGACAUGCAGCAGUUGGCAUUUGAACAGGUCGCUUUGUAGGACCGGCAAGAGGCAGUAACUGCCACCUCGGGGCUAUUACUUUCAGAGAGAAAAGAAAAGCUAUGAGCUUACAACUUCGUGGAUUCGUUUGGCGUUUCCCUCGAGGCUGAUCAGAAAGGAAUGAAAGAAAUCUUUUCUCCCAUUUCCCUAGGACCUUGCUAUAAACGCAGAGGUUUUCAAGUUCCAGUGUGCAAAAGAAUUACCCAAGGAGCUGGCUGAAAAUACAAACUCCAGGGUCCUGCCAUCUAGAUUCUGAGAUGAGGAAACCGAGGCACAGAGAAGUAUAGCAACUUACCCAAGGUCGCUCAGCCAGUGAGUGGCACAGCCAGGAUUUGAAUUCAGGCAGCAAGCUGUAGAGUCUGUUCUUGACCCUGUACUCAAUAACCUCAAGCAGAAACUGUGCAGACGGUGACCACACGAACUGAACACUGAAUCCUUUCUAAUUUUGGACCAAAUCCUGGGAUAUUUAUAAGAUCCACAGAGAGGAGAGGACUCUGAAAUUGAUCAUUGUUGAACUUACUGUCUACAUGAAAAGGUAUGACUUGAUUUAGAAAAGUAAAGAAAUGAGUCAUAUCUUUAUUAUUAUUUUUUUAUGGUGGCUGGCCAUAAACCCAUGACCGUGGUGUUAUAAGACUCGCUCUAACCAACUGAGCUAACCAGCCAGCCCAGAAAUGGAACAUAUCUUGCACCUCAAGAGUUCUGAAGCAGUUUAUACCUGUGGCCCCCAUAAGAAUGCCAAAGUCACUUGAUUGCGUUUCGGAUUUGCUUUCUUUUUUAAUUUAAUUUUUCGAGUAGAUAUGACAUUGUAUUUAUAUAGUUAAAAAACCAAAACAAAUGUACCUUCCCUUUCCUAACCUUGUUCACUGUGUUCUCCCUCCCUCCUCAGAUGGCUACAUUUAGAAUUUUCUGUGUAUCCUUCUAGUGGUUCUUUAUCCAAAUACAACAAUCAGGUGUGUGUGUGUGGGUGCACGUGUGUGUGUGUGUGUGUGUGUGUGUGUGUGUGCGCAUUCUCCCUCCUUUAUCAAACAAAAGGUAGCGAACUAUACAUAUGGUUCUGUAUCUUGCUUUUUUCCACUAACAGUAUAUUCUGGAGAUCUUUCCAUAUCAGUACACAGAGAGCUUCCUCAUUAUUAUCAAUAUCUUUUACAACUGCAUAGUGGGAUGUGCUGGAAUCAGCUUGUACUGGUUCUGAAGAACUGAUUGUUAAGCGUUCAGAUAUUUUUUGGGCUGAUCAACUUCAUGUAGGUGGCUGGAAUGGGCCACGGUGGUAGUAUUUGCACAACAGAAGGGGGCAAACUCUAUACCUGAGGGCUUCCUUGGUCAACAUUUGAUACACUGCCCAUUGUAUGAAUAUAUUAGUUUAGUUAACUGGUC
This is a long non-coding RNA of Cynocephalus volans (Philippine flying lemur), 1418 nucleotides long. RefSeq lists it as uncharacterized. The record is from RefSeq and is a predicted model, not a curated record. The transcript has 3 exons. NCBI's taxonomy places the organism in Eukaryota, Metazoa, Chordata, Mammalia, Dermoptera, Cynocephalidae.